This 572-nucleotide ribosomal RNA is filed under the name uncultured Glomeromycotina. RNAcentral describes it as "SSU rRNA". It matches the Rfam family "Eukaryotic small subunit ribosomal RNA", at positions 548 to 1114 of the family's 1831-position model. Lineage: Eukaryota; Fungi; Glomeromycota. The record is from RNAcentral.
UUGGAGGGCAAGUCUGGUGCCAGCAGCCGCGGUAAUUCCAGCUCCAAUAGCGUAUAUUAAAGUUGUUGCAGUUAAAAAGCUCGUAGUUGAAUUUCGGGAUUGACGUGAUGGUCAUGCCUUAAGGGGUAUGAACUGUUGCUGUUGAUUUCUCACCUUCUGGAGAAACUUGAUGUCCUUAAUUGGGUGUCUUGCGGAUCCAGGACCUUUACCUUGAAAAAAUCAGAGUGUUUAAAGCAGGCAUUUUUGCUCGAAUACAUUAGCAUGGAAUAAUAGAAUAGGACGGCAUGGUUCUAUUUUGUUGGUUUCUAGGAUCACCGUAAUGAUUAAUAGGGAUAGUUGGGGGCAUUAGUAUUCAAUUGUCAGAGGUGAAAUUCUUGGAUUUAUUGAAGACUAACUACUGCGAAAGCAUUUGCCAAGGAUGUUUUCAUUAAUCAAGAACGAAAGUUAGGGGAUCGAAGACGAUCAGAUACCGUCGUAGUCUUAACCAUAAACUAUGCCGACUAGGAAUCAGACGAUGUUAAUUUUUUAAUGACUCGUUUGGCACCUUACGGGAAACCAAAGUGUUUGGGUUC